CCUACGGGCGGCUGCAGUGAGGAAUAUUGGUCAAAGGGCGCGAGCCUGAACCAGCCAAGUAGCGUGAAGGAUGACUGCCCUACGGGUUGUAAACUUCUUUUAUAAAGGAAUAAAGUGAGGCACGUGUGCCUUUUUGUAUGUACUUUAUGAAUAAGGAUCGGCUAACUCCGUGCCAGCAGCCGCGGUAAUACGGAGGAUCCGAGCGUUAUCCGGAUUUAUUGGGUUUAAAGGGAGCGUAGAUGGGUUGUUAAGUCAGUUGUGAAAGUUUGGGGCUCAACCGUAAAAUUGCAAUUGAUACUGGCGGUCUUGAGUACAGGUGAGGUAGGCGGAAUUCGUGGUGUAGCGGUGAAAUGCUUAGAUAUCACGAAGAACUCCGAUUGCGAAGGCAGCUUACUAAACUGCCACUGACAUUGAUGCUCGAAAGUGUGGGUAUCAAACAGGAUUAGAUACCCUUGUAGUC
Molecule: ribosomal RNA, 460 nt
Filed under: uncultured bacterium
Lineage: Bacteria
Description: partial 16S ribosomal RNA
Rfam family: Bacterial small subunit ribosomal RNA
Source: RNAcentral